AGCAGUGUGGCCUAGUGGAUAGAGCACGGGCCUGGGAAUCAGAAGGACCUGGGUUCUAUUCCCAGCUCUGCCA
This 73-nucleotide transfer RNA is filed under the name Ornithorhynchus anatinus (platypus). It matches the Rfam family "tRNA". Rfam says of the family: Transfer RNA (tRNA) molecules are approximately 80 nucleotides in length. Their secondary structure includes four short double-helical elements and three loops (D, anti-codon, and T loops). Further hydrogen bonds mediate the characteristic L-shaped molecular structure. tRNAs have two regions of fundamental functional importance: the anti-codon, which is responsible for specific mRNA codon recognition, and the 3' end, to which the tRNAs corresponding amino acid is attached (by aminoacyl-tRNA synthetases). tRNAs cope with the degeneracy of the genetic code in two manners: having more than one tRNA (with a specific anti-codon) for a particular amino acid; and 'wobble' base-pairing, i.e. permitting non-standard base-pairing at the 3rd anti-codon position. Lineage: Eukaryota; Metazoa; Chordata; Mammalia; Monotremata; Ornithorhynchidae. The record is from Rfam by way of RNAcentral.